CUGCCCCUCAAACCUGGCCCGGCAACUGUGGCGGUGCCAUGAAGAUUGACAUAUAGCAAGCCAAUUAAGUUGAAGUAGAGCGGGGAAUUGACAACCUCUGAUAGACGGAAUAGGGAGAUUGCACAAGGAGAUUUGGACAACAAGGACUCAUGAAGGACAGCACAUGUCAAGGCUGGGGAGAAGAAGAGGAGCCAAGAAGGAGCAGCCAGGGAGUAUACAUUUGUGAUCCAGAAAUACAUUCAGCAUGAGGAACUGCUACCGAAGUAAGACAGCAAAUCAACAAUCUAAGUUUCUUCAUCAAGAAAUUAGAAAACAAAGACCAAAAUCAAACCAAAACAAGCCUGAGGAAGGAACUAAUGAAGGUAAGAGGAGAAAUCAAUGUGAUUGAAAACUAGAAAACGAGAGAAUCAAUGAAACAAAAACCUCUUGAAGAUUGACUGUUAGGAAGAAUUUAGCAUGCAAUUUGUUUAUCAAGGAGUGUCUUUGGGUCAACAUGGAUAGAAGGGAUGGGAAGUCUUUUUUUAUUUUUGUUUUUUUUCUGUUAACACUGAUCAAUCCUCCAAUACUGACACCAGCCACCUGGAGUUCACAUAGAUUCUACAAGUGCAAGGACUGUAUGUCACUAAAAGGAAAUACUUCAGAUGCCAGCCUCAAGAGGGUGCUCAGGUAGCCAUACUUCUGCCCUGAACACCCAAUGUAUUCCCACAACCUGCUCACAGGCUGGAUAUUUCCAGAUGACUUACAGUGCUCAGAAGAACAUUUUCCUUACUUACAUUUAUGAGUUUAUUUUAAAGAGUAGACCCCCAAAUAGAAGACCCAAUCAGGAAAUGGAAAAGUGGGACACUUCAAAGAAGCAGUACAAAUGGCCCAUAAAUCCAUGAAGAAAUGCUCAACAUCCCUGGUGAUAUUAGAGAAAUGCAGAUUAAAACAACACUGAGAUUCCAUCUUACUCCAGAGAGAAGGACUAUCUUCAAGAAAUCAAGGAAUGGCAAAUGCUGGUGAGGCUGUGAGCGAAAAUGAACCCCUCUACGUUGUUGGUGGGAAUGUGAACUGGUAUAACCACUCUGGAAGUCAGUAUGGAGAUUCCUCAAAAAGCAAACUAGAAAUUCUAUCUGACCCAGCUAUUCCCCUUCUAGUUAUCUUC
This 1144-nucleotide long non-coding RNA is filed under the name Heterocephalus glaber (naked mole-rat). RNAcentral's name for it is "lncRNA (ENSHGLG00000039644.1)". Lineage: Eukaryota; Metazoa; Chordata; Mammalia; Rodentia; Bathyergidae. The record is from RNAcentral.